AUACGGAGGGUGCAAGCGUUAAUCGGAAUUACUGGGCGUAAAGCGUGCGCAGGCGGCUGGCUAAGUCAAAUGUGAAAGCCCCGGGCUCAACCUGGGAAUGGCAUUCGAUACUGGUCAGCUAGAGUCUGGUAGAGGUAAGCGGAAUUCCGGGUGUAGCGGUGAAAUGCGUAGAUAUCCGGAGGAACAUCAGUGGCGAAGGCGGCUUACUGGACCAAGACUGACGCUCAGGCACGAAAGCGUGGGUAGCAAACAGGAUUAGAUACCCUGGUAGUCCACGCCCUAAACGAUGUCAACUAGCCGUUGGGUCCCCUUAAUAGGACUUAGUGGCGAAGCUAACGCGUUAAGUUGACCGCCUGGGGAGUACGGCCGCAAGGUUGAA
RNAcentral lists this ribosomal RNA (379 nucleotides) under uncultured bacterium. RNAcentral describes it as "bacterial SSU rRNA". It matches the Rfam family "Bacterial small subunit ribosomal RNA", at positions 523 to 898 of the family's 1533-position model. The record is from RNAcentral.